This 440-nucleotide ribosomal RNA is filed under the name uncultured bacterium. RNAcentral describes it as "bacterial SSU rRNA". It matches the Rfam family "Bacterial small subunit ribosomal RNA", at positions 958 to 1398 of the family's 1533-position model. The record is from RNAcentral.
AACGCGAAGAACCUUACCUGGGCUCGAAGCGCAGUGGACCGGGGUAGAAAUAUCCCUUUUCGCAAGAACUGCUGCGGAGGUGCUGCAUGGCUGUCGUCAGCUCGUGUCGUGAGAUGUUGGGUUAAGUCCCGCAACGAGCGCAACCCUUAUCGUUAGUUGCCAGCGAGUCAAGUCGGGCACUCUAGCGAAACCGCCCCGGAUAACGGGGAGGAAGGUGGGGAUGACGUCAAGUCCUCAUGGCCUUUAUGUCCAGGGCUACACACGUGCUACAAUGGUCGGUACAAACCGUCGCAAACCUGCGAAGGGGAGCUAAUCGGAAAAAGCCGGCCUCAGUUCGGAUUGGAGUCUGCAACCCGACUCCAUGAAGCUGGAAUCGCUAGUAAUCGCGGAUCAGCACGCCGCGGUGAAUACGUUCCCGGGCCUUGUACACACCGGAGUGC